UGGGGAAUAUUGCACAAUGGAGGGAACUCUGAUGCAGCGACGCCGCGUGAACGAAGAAGGCUUUCGAGUCGUAAAGUUCUUUUAUAUGGGAAGAUAAUGACGGUACCAUAAGAAAAAGCCCCGGCUAACUACGUGCCAGCAGCCGCGGUAAUACGUAGGGGGCUAGCGUUGUCCGGAAUCACUGGGCGUAAAGGGUUCGCAGGCGGAAAUGCAAGUCAGGUGUAAAAGGCAGUAGUUUAACUACUGUAAGCAUUUGAAACUGCAUAUCUUGAGAAGAGUAGAGGUAAGUGGAAUUUUUAGUGUAGCGGUGAAAUGCGUAGAUAUUAAAAAGAAUACCGGUGGCGAAGGCGACUUACUGGGCUCAUUCUGACGCUGAGGAACGAAAGCGUGGGUAGCAAACAGG
This 403-nucleotide ribosomal RNA is filed under the name bacterium. RNAcentral's name for it is "partial 16S ribosomal RNA". It matches the Rfam family "Bacterial small subunit ribosomal RNA", at positions 355 to 776 of the family's 1533-position model. The record is from RNAcentral. RNAcentral also lists the same sequence under 1 other name.